RNAcentral lists this ribosomal RNA (460 nucleotides) under uncultured bacterium. RNAcentral describes it as "partial 16S ribosomal RNA". It matches the Rfam family "Bacterial small subunit ribosomal RNA", at positions 338 to 795 of the family's 1533-position model. The record is from RNAcentral.
CCUACGGGAGGCAGCAGUGAGGAAUAUUGGUCAAUGGACGAGAGUCUGAACCAGCCAAGUAGCGUGAAGGAUGACUGCCCUAUGGGUUGUAAACUUCUUUUAUAUGGGAAUAAAACGUUCCACGUGUGAGAUUUUGUAUGUACCAUAUGAAUAAGGAUCGGCUAACUCCGUGCCAGCAGCCGCGGUAAUACGGAGGAUCCGAGCGUUAUCCGGAUUUAUUGGGUUUAAAGGGAGCGUAGGUGGAUUGUUAAGUCAGUUGUGAAAGUUUGCGGCUCAACCGUAAAAUUGCAGUUGAAACUGGCAGUCUUGAGUACAGUAGAGGUGGGCGGAAUUCGUGGUGUAGCGGUGAAAUGCUUAGAUAUCACGAAGAACUCCGAUUGCGAAGGCAGUUCACUGGACUGCAACUGACACUGAGGCUCGAAAGUGUGGGUAUCAAACAGGAUUAGAUACCCUUGUAGUC